UUGGUCAGACCCAACCCAGCUUCAAACGACCCCUUAAGUCUGAUAUAGGCCAAAUAAGCCCCCAUUCUUGGCAUAACCUUUUAGAAGGGUAAAACCCUAGUCGUCAUAGAGAGAUUUCUCUCUCCACGUCACUGCUUUGCCGGAAACGGCAAAUUCUCAAGCCAAUAGGGGUCGCCUCAAUCGCGCUAAGCCAUUUCGGGUAAGAGCAUUAAUUUCUCUUACCUUCUCUCACCUCUCUCCAUCGAAGAACCGCCCAAACAUGGUAUAAUCUCUUCUUAUUCUUGCUUUUUCUGCUCUUUUUGGUCAACCAAGGACAAUGUUGUCUCAAGGUGAAUUCAACCUAUAAGAUCCCAUUGGUUCAUGUGAAACCAAAGGAUUCCGUUGAGUGUUCAUGAAAUCUAACCCUCCAUAUAUUUUGCACUAAAUCCCGACCGCACAAUGUUGAAAUUGAGGGAACAAAUCCCAGAUUUUCACUUGCCCCACAUCGGAUUCAAACCUAAAAGAUUAGGAUUUUGGGGUGCUAUAUAAAGAACCCCAAUCCUUCACAAUCACCGGACCGAAGAUCAUCAUAUAUUCACAAAAAUCUGAAAAUACCUAGGGUUUUAGCAAUUUUCUUGAAACCUUUAAUUUUUUCAGAUUAGUUAAGUUUUAAAACUUGUUUUUUUUUUCUUGUUUGUGGCUGAGCUUGAGGUGAAAAGAGCAUAAAGAGGUCUCCAAUUUCAAACUCGAUCAAGGCUGCCCCCGAGAAAGCUAUGCAGCAUGUGGUUUUCCACAGCAACGUCAAUGCUGAAGUACCAGAAGCUUACUAGGUACUAUAUUUUCCUAUGUAUUUCAGAAACGUGAUUGUAGCCUUUUAGUCAUUAAGUCUGGUGGAUAUUUCAUUUCAUGGAAAACAACUCUGUUGCAGUGUGAAAAAUGCAUUAACUUCAGUCUUUUUAAUUUGGAGCUGUAGAUUGUUUCAUAGUAAGCUUUCAAUAAAAAGUUUUCAUCUUUCUGCCUUUUGCAAACCUAUUUUAACUACCUAUAUUCUUUGUCAUUUUCCUGAAGAUAAUUUUAUUUUGAUUCACUGAAUUGAAAUCUCAAGUCUAGAGUAGUAAUCUAGAUGAAAGGAUAGAAACUGCAGCUAUAACAUGCUUUUUAUCUGGCAAGAGAAUCAAGUUUUGCCUUCUACAUAUAUUGCCUUCGUGUGUACAUGUAAGAUUGUGAUUUUGGUUGAGCAAACCCAAACUCUGCUCCUAUUUUAAGCAUACAAUGUGGAGUUUUUGGACUCAAAAAAUCCAAAAAUGCUUUGAUAGAACAGAGCAAAACACCUGUCGUUGUUAAGUCAUAAAUGUAUUCAGAACUUAAAGAGUAUGGUAUAAUGCUGAUUUUUUCUAUUGA
Molecule: long non-coding RNA, 1380 nt
Organism: Lycium ferocissimum
Lineage: Eukaryota; Viridiplantae; Streptophyta; Magnoliopsida; Solanales; Solanaceae
Exons: 2
Source: RefSeq, a predicted model, not a curated record